ACAGCAGCAGCCGCGGUAAUACGAAGGGGGCUAGCGUUGCUCGGAAUGACUGGGCGUAAAGGGCGCGUAGGCGGAUGGCACAGUCAGAUGUGAAAUUCCCGGGCUUAACCUGGGGGCUGCAUUUGAUACGUGUUGUCUAGAGUGAGGAAGAGGGUCGUGGAAUUCCCAGUGUAGAGGUGAAAUUCGUAGAUAUUGGGAAGAACACCGGUGGCGAAGGCGGCGACCUGGUCCUUUACUGACGCUGAGGCGCGAAAGCGUGAGGAGCAAACAGGAUUAGAUACCCGUGUAGUCCCUGUCUCUUAUAC
RNAcentral lists this ribosomal RNA (305 nucleotides) under uncultured bacterium. Its description in RNAcentral is "partial 16S ribosomal RNA". It matches the Rfam family "Bacterial small subunit ribosomal RNA", at positions 505 to 807 of the family's 1533-position model. The record is from RNAcentral.